CCAAUAGCGUAUAUUAAAGUUGUUGCAGUUAAAAAGCUCGUAGUUGAACCUUAGGCCCGUGCGGGUGGUCCGUCCUCAGGGCGAGCACUGCCUCGUCGCGGGUCUCACCUUCUGGCGAGCGUGGAUGCCAUUCACUUGGUGUCCGCGGGAACCAGGACCUUUACCUUGAAAAAAUUAGAGUGCUCAAAGCGGGCUCGUACGCUUGAAUACAUUAGCAUGGAAUAAUGAAAUAGGACGACGGUUCUAUUUUGUUGGUUUCCGGGACAGUCGUAAUGAUUAAUAGGGAUAGUUGGGGGCAUUCGUAUUCAAUUGUCAGAGGUGAAAUUCUUGGAUUUAUUGAAGACGAACUACUGCGAAAGCAUUUGCCAAGGAUGUUUUCAUUAAUCAAGAACGAAAGUUGGGGGAUCGAAGACGAUCAGAUACCGUCGUAGUCUCAACCAUAAACUAUGCCGACUGGGAAUCGGGCGAUGUUAUUUUUCGUGACUCGCUCGGCGCCCCGAG
This 501-nucleotide ribosomal RNA is filed under the name uncultured Glomeromycotina. Its description in RNAcentral is "partial small subunit ribosomal RNA". It matches the Rfam family "Eukaryotic small subunit ribosomal RNA", at positions 591 to 1092 of the family's 1831-position model. Lineage: Eukaryota; Fungi; Glomeromycota. The record is from RNAcentral.